UAAUAUGGCAGCAAUCUGGCUGACAUCUGUCCCUCCUUUGACUACCCUUGGUUAGUUCUAGCUGAUCUGGCAAGCUGAAUAGCUAUCCUCUUUGCCCGCUGUGUUCCAUGGACAUUGUCAAUGAAAAUGCAUUUCCAAUGGAGAAUCACAGCUUUCCUGUUAGAGGAAAAUUCUUUGGUUAAGAGUGUAGAAGUAGCAGCUCUCCUUUACCAGAACAUUCAAACACACUCUAAGUUUAUUCUUUAGAGAAUGUUGUCUCAAAGAUAGAUCGAUCUAUCUAUUUAUCUAUCCAUCUAUCUAUCUAUCUAUCCUU
Non-coding RNA from Papio anubis (olive baboon), 313 nucleotides. NCBI's taxonomy places the organism in Eukaryota, Metazoa, Chordata, Mammalia, Primates, Cercopithecidae. The record is from Rfam.